This 496-nucleotide ribosomal RNA is filed under the name uncultured bacterium. RNAcentral describes it as "partial 16S ribosomal RNA". It matches the Rfam family "Bacterial small subunit ribosomal RNA", at positions 28 to 507 of the family's 1533-position model. The record is from RNAcentral.
GAUGAACGCUGGCGGCGUGCCUAAUACAUGCAAGUCGAGCGAACGGACGAGAAGCUUGCUUCUCUGAUGUUAGCGGCGGACGGGUGAGUAACACGUGGAUAACCUACCUAUAAGACUGGGAUAACUUCGGGAAACCGGAGCUAAUACCGGAUAAUAUUUUGAACCGCAUGGUUCAAAAGUGAAAGACGGUCUUGCUGUCACUUAUAGAUGGAUCCGCGCUGCAUUAGAUAGUUGGUAAGGUAACGGCUUACCAAGGCAACGAUGCAUAGCCGACCUGAGAGGUUGAUCGCCCACCCUGAACCUAAAACACGUUCCAAACUCCUACGGAAGCCAGCAUUAGGAAAUCUUCCGCAAUGGGCGAAGCCUGACGGAGCAACGCCGCGUGAGUGAUGAAGGUCUUCGGAUCGUAAAACUCUGUUAUUAGGGAAGAACAUAUGUGUAAGUAACUGUGCACAUCUUGACGGUACCUAAUCAGAAAGCCACGGCUAACUACGUG